GUUGGCUCAGUUGGUAGAGCACUGCACUGGUAUCGCAGAGGUCAUGGGUUUGAAUCCUAUCAAAGCCU
Molecule: non-coding RNA, 68 nt
Organism: Desmophyllum pertusum
Lineage: Eukaryota; Metazoa; Cnidaria; Anthozoa; Scleractinia; Caryophylliidae
Source: the annotation of a GenBank genome assembly